GAUCACCAUCCUCGUGAUGAUCCUAUGGUCAGGAGCUGUUUAUGAGUUAGUUAUGUAAAUUCGUGUAUUAAAUUUUCAACUUUUGAAAAUAUGAAUUAACAUUCCUACUAACUCAAAGGAUGUAUCACAGACAUAAUGUACACAAUGUGAUAGUUGAAUAAUCUUUUUAUUUAUUUAUAGUCAUAAUUAUAAAUUUGCCCUUAGAUUUGUACAGGAAUGUGUCAGCCA
Molecule: long non-coding RNA, 228 nt
Filed under: Elaeis guineensis (African oil palm)
Lineage: Eukaryota; Viridiplantae; Streptophyta; Magnoliopsida; Arecales; Arecaceae
Description: long non-coding RNA (EGUI_LNC048257)
Source: RNAcentral